CCGGUAUCAAAUAAAACAUGAGCAAUAUGGUCACAGAUAGUAUACAUACCCUGUACUACAUCUGGGUCGGCGUCGGCAUCCUGCUGGGUAAGGUUGUAAGCUCUGCCCUGGAUAGGAGGCCUCCCUUGAUUCUGGUUCCUCGGGCAUUCUCUAGCAUAAUGCUGGGCACUGCCACAAAUGCGAUAAGUGUUGUUGAGGCGGUAGCAGGGUCGGUCCCCAUGAUCUCUGCCGCAGUGGUG
This 239-nucleotide long non-coding RNA is filed under the name Carica papaya (papaya). RNAcentral's name for it is "long non-coding RNA (CPAP_LNC014836)". Lineage: Eukaryota; Viridiplantae; Streptophyta; Magnoliopsida; Brassicales; Caricaceae. The record is from RNAcentral.